This is a long non-coding RNA of Centrocercus urophasianus (Greater sage-grouse), 311 nucleotides long. RefSeq lists it as uncharacterized. Lineage: Eukaryota; Metazoa; Chordata; Aves; Galliformes; Phasianidae. The transcript is spliced from 4 exons. The record is from RefSeq and is a predicted model, not a curated record.
CAGGCUGGGUGGGCGGGGCGCGCGGCGGCUGCAGGGGGACGUGAGGCCCGUGAGAUAAAAAAAGAAUAGCAUCCUUCCCAAGCCCUGAGCCGUGAGAAGCUCCCUGUCCAGAACUGAACAGACAGCCACAGUACAGGGUGGAAGUGCUCAGGUAGCACAACAAAGAAGUGGAUGACUAGGAGAACAGCCAUUUGUGAGAAAAGUUCUGCCCUGAAUCACACUGACAUUGGAGUUGGCUGAUCAUGCACAGGGCACAGCGUGCAGCCGCGAGCCGUGCUCUGCGCGGGACUCAGCGCCCUCGUCCAUCCGAG